RNAcentral lists this ribosomal RNA (465 nucleotides) under Vreelandella stevensii. RNAcentral's name for it is "partial 16S ribosomal RNA". It matches the Rfam family "Bacterial small subunit ribosomal RNA", at positions 338 to 795 of the family's 1533-position model. Lineage: Bacteria; Pseudomonadati; Pseudomonadota; Gammaproteobacteria; Oceanospirillales; Halomonadaceae. The record is from RNAcentral.
CCUACGAGAGGCAGCAGUGGGGAAUAUUGGACAAUGGGGGCAACCCUGAUCCAGCCAUGCCGCGUGUGUGAAGAAGGCCCUCGGGUUGUAAAGCACUUUCAGUGAGGAAGAACGCCUGGUGGUUAAUACCCAUCAGGAAAGACAUCACUCACAGAAGAAGCACCGGCUAACUCCGUGCCAGCAGCCGCGGUAAUACGGAGGGUGCGAGCGUUAAUCGGAAUUACUGGGCGUAAAGCGCGCGUAGGUGGCUUGAUAAGCCGGUUGUGAAAGCCCCGGGCUCAACCUGGGAACGGCAUCCGGAACUGUCAAGCUAGAGUGCAGGAGAGGAAGGUAGAAUUCCCGGUGUAGCGGUGAAAUGCGUAGAGAUCGGGAGGAAUACCAGUGGCGAAGGCGGCCUUCUGGACUGACACUGACACUGAGGUGCGAAAGCGUGGGUAGCAAACAGGAUUAGAUACCCUGGUAGUC